RNAcentral lists this ribosomal RNA (246 nucleotides) under uncultured bacterium. RNAcentral describes it as "partial 16S ribosomal RNA". It matches the Rfam family "Bacterial small subunit ribosomal RNA", at positions 796 to 1041 of the family's 1533-position model. The record is from RNAcentral.
CACGCCGUAAACGAUGAGCGCUAGGUGUUGGGGGUAUUGACCCCCCCAGUACCGCAGCUAACGCGUUAAGCGCUCCGCCUGGGGAGUACGGCCGCAAGGCUAAAACUCAAAGGAAUUGACGGGGGCCCGCACAAGCGGUGGAGUAUGUGGUUUAAUUCGACGCAACGCGCAAAACCUUACCUGGGUUAAAUCCACUAGAACCCACCAGAGAUGGUGGAGUGCCUUCGGGAGCUAGUGAGAAGGUGC